GGUUAAGCGACUAAGCGUACACGGUGGAUGCCCUGGCAGUCAGAGGCGAUGAAGGACGUGCUAAUCUGCGAUAAGCGUCGGUAAGGUGAUAUGAACCGUUAUAACCGGCGAUUUCCGAAUGGGGAAACCCAGUGUGAUUCGUCACACUAUCAUUAACUGAAUCCAUAGGUUAAUGAGGCGAACCGGGGGAACUGAAACAUCUAAGUACCCCGAGGAAAAGAAAUCAACCGAGAUUCCCCCAGUAGCGGCGAGCGAACGGGGAGCAGCCCAGAGCCUGAAUCAGUGUGUGUGUUAGUGGAAGCGUCUGGAAAGGCGCGCGAUACAGGGUGACAGCCCCGUACACAAAAAUGCACAUACUGUGAGCUCGAUGAGUAGGGCGGGACACGUGGUAUCCUGUCUGAAUAUGGGGGGACCAUCCUCCAAGGCUAAAUACUCCUGACUGACCGAUAGUGAACCAGUACCGUGAGGGAAAGGCGAAAAGAACCCCGGCGAGGGGAGUGAAAAAGAACCUGAAACCGUGUACGUACAAGCAGUGGGAGCACGCUUAGGCGUGUGACUGCGUACCUUUUGUAUAAUGGGUCAGCGACUUAUAUUCUGUAGCAAGGUUAACCGAAUAGGGGAGCCGAAGGGAAACCGAGUCUUAACUGGGCGUUAAGUUGCAGGGUAUAGACCCGAAACCCGGUGAUCUAGCCAUGGGCAGGUUGAAGGUUGGGUAACACUAACUGGAGGACCGAACCGACUAAUGUUGAAAAAUUAGCGGAUGACUUGUGGCUGGGGGUGAAAGGCCAAUCAAACCGGGAGAUAGCUGGUUCUCCCCGAAAGCUAUUUAGGUAGCGCCUCGUGAAUUCAUCUCCGGGGGUAGAGCACUGUUUCGGCAAGGGGGUCAUCCCGACUUACCAACCCGAUGCAAACUGCGAAUACCGGAGAAUGUUAUCACGGGAGACACACGGCGGGUGCUAACGUCCGUCGUGAAGAGGGAAACAACCCAGACCGCCAGCUAAGGUCCCAAAGUCAUGGUUAAGUGGGAAACGAUGUGGGAAGGCCCAGACAGCCAGGAUGUUGGCUUAGAAGCAGCCAUCAUUUAAAGAAAGCGUAAUAGCUCACUGGUCGAGUCGGCCUGCGCGGAAGAUGUAACGGGGCUAAACCAUGCACCGAAGCUGCGGCAGCGACGCUUAUGCGUUGUUGGGUAGGGGAGCGUUCUGUAAGCCUGUGAAGGUGUACUGUGAGGUAUGCUGGAGGUAUCAGAAGUGCGAAUGCUGACAUAAGUAACGAUAAAGCGGGUGAAAAGCCCGCUCGCCGGAAGACCAAGGGUUCCUGUCCAACGUUAAUCGGGGCAGGGUGAGUCGACCCCUAAGGCGAGGCCGAAAGGCGUAGUCGAUGGGAAACAGGUUAAUAUUCCUGUACUUGGUGUUACUGCGAAGGGGGGACGGAGAAGGCUAUGUUGGCCGGGCGACGGUUGUCCCGGUUUAAGCGUGUAGGCUGGUUUUCCAGGCAAAUCCGGAAAAUCAAGGCUGAGGCGUGAUGACGAGGCACUACGGUGCUGAAGCAACAAAUGCCCUGCUUCCAGGAAAAGCCUCUAAGCAUCAGGUAACAUCAAAUCGUACCCCAAACCGACACAGGUGGUCAGGUAGAGAAUACCAAGGCGCUUGAGAGAACUCGGGUGAAGGAACUAGGCAAAAUGGUGCCGUAACUUCGGGAGAAGGCACGCUGAUAUGUAGGUGAAGUCCCUCGCGGAUGGAGCUGAAAUCAGUCGAAGAUACCAGCUGGCUGCAACUGUUUAUUAAAAACACAGCACUGUGCAAACACGAAAGUGGACGUAUACGGUGUGACGCCUGCCCGGUGCCGGAAGGUUAAUUGAUGGGGUUAGCGCAAGCGAAGCUCUUGAUCGAAGCCCCGGUAAACGGCGGCCGUAACUAUAACGGUCCUAAGGUAGCGAAAUUCCUUGUCGGGUAAGUUCCGACCUGCACGAAUGGCGUAAUGAUGGCCAGGCUGUCUCCACCCGAGACUCAGUGAAAUUGAACUCGCUGUGAAGAUGCAGUGUACCCGCGGCAAGACGGAAAGACCCCGUGAACCUUUACUAUAGCUUGACACUGAACAUUGAGCCUUGAUGUGUAGGAUAGGUGGGAGGCUUUGAAGUGUGGACGCCAGUCUGCAUGGAGCCGACCUUGAAAUACCACCCUUUAAUGUUUGAUGUUCUAACGUGGACCCGUAAUCCGGGUUGCGGACAGUGUCUGGUGGGUAGUUUGACUGGGGCGGUCUCCUCCUAAAGAGUAACGGAGGAGCACGAAGGUUGGCUAAUCCUGGUCGGACAUCAGGAGGUUAGUGCAAUGGCAUAAGCCAGCUUGACUGCGAGCGUGACGGCGCGAGCAGGUGCGAAAGCAGGUCAUAGUGAUCCGGUGGUUCUGAAUGGAAGGGCCAUCGCUCAACGGAUAAAAGGUACUCCGGGGAUAACAGGCUGAUACCGCCCAAGAGUUCAUAUCGACGGCGGUGUUUGGCACCUCGAUGUCGGCUCAUCACAUCCUGGGGCUGAAGUAGGUCCCAAGGGUAUGGCUGUUCGCCAUUUAAAGUGGUACGCGAGCUGGGUUUAGAACGUCGUGAGACAGUUCGGUCCCUA
RNAcentral lists this ribosomal RNA (2614 nucleotides) under Escherichia coli. RNAcentral's name for it is "partial 23S ribosomal RNA". It matches the Rfam family "Bacterial large subunit ribosomal RNA". The record is from RNAcentral. Lineage: Bacteria; Pseudomonadati; Pseudomonadota; Gammaproteobacteria; Enterobacterales; Enterobacteriaceae.